Molecule: ribosomal RNA, 497 nt
Filed under: uncultured bacterium
Lineage: Bacteria
Description: partial 16S ribosomal RNA
Rfam family: Bacterial small subunit ribosomal RNA
Source: RNAcentral
GAUGAACGCUGGCGGCGUGCCUAAUACAUGCAAGUCGAGCGAACGGACGAGAAGCUUGCUUCUCUGAUGUUAGCGGCGGACGGGUGAGUAACACGUGGAUAACCUACCUAUAAGACUGGGAUAACUUCGGGAAACCGGAACUAAUACCGGAUGAUAUUUUGAACCGCAUGGUUCAAAAGUGAAAGACGGUCUUGCUGUCACUUAUAGAUGGAUCCGCGCUGCAUUAGCUAGUUGGUAAGGUAACGGCUUACCAAGGCAACGAUGCAUAGCCGACCUGAGAGGGGGAUCGGCCAACCUGGAACUGGGGCACGGUCCAGGCUCCUAAGGGAGGCCACAGUAGGGAAUCUUCCGCAAUGGGCGGAAGGCUUACGGGGCAACGCCGCGUUAGUGAUGAAGGUCUUCGGAUCGUAAAACUCUGUUAUUAGGGAAGAAAAUAAGUGGAAGUAACUGUGCACCUCUUGACGGUACCUAAUCAAAAAGCCACGGCUAACUUCGUG